CAGCAGCGCUUGUUCUGUAACAGUCGAUGGCUCAUUAAAUCAGUUAUCGUUUAUUUGAUAGUACCUUACUACAUGGAUACCUGUGGUAAUUCUAGAGCUAAUACAUGCUAAAAACCCCGACUUCGGAAGGGGUGUAUUUAUUAGAUAAAAAACCAAUGCCCUUCGGGGCUCCUUGGUGAUUCAUAAUAACUUAACGAAUCGCAUGGCCUUGCGCCGGCGAUGGUUCAUUCAAAUUUCUGCCCUAUCAACUUUCGAUGGGAGGAUAGUGGCCUACCAUGGUGGCAACGGGUAACGGGGAAUUAGGGUUCGAUUCCGGAGAGGGAGCCUGAGAAACGGCUACCACAUCCAAGGAAGGCAGCAGGGCGCGCAAAUUACCCAGUCCCGACACGGGGAGGUAGUGACAAUAAAUAGGGAUACGGGGCUCUUUCGGGUCUCGUAGUUUGAAUGAGUACAAUCUAAAUCCCUUGAAGAGGAACAUUUGGUGUGUAAGUUCUGGUGCCAGAAGCCCAGUGUUUUCCUUUGCCUUUGUCCGUAGAAGAAGUUCGUUUUU
Molecule: ribosomal RNA, 550 nt
Filed under: Aspergillus terreus
Lineage: Eukaryota; Fungi; Ascomycota; Eurotiomycetes; Eurotiales; Aspergillaceae
Description: bacterial SSU rRNA
Rfam family: Eukaryotic small subunit ribosomal RNA
Source: RNAcentral